This 253-nucleotide ribosomal RNA is filed under the name uncultured bacterium. RNAcentral describes it as "partial 16S ribosomal RNA". It matches the Rfam family "Bacterial small subunit ribosomal RNA", at positions 524 to 776 of the family's 1533-position model. The record is from RNAcentral.
UACAGAGGGGGCAAGCGUUGUUCGGAAUUACUGGGCGUAAAGGGCGCGUAGGCGGCCUUCUAAGUCGAACGUGAAAUCCCCGGGCUCAACCCGGGAACUGCGUCCGAUACUGGAAGGCUUGAAUCCGGGAGAGGGAUGUGGAAUUCCAGGUGUAGCGGUGAAAUGCGUAGAUAUCUGGAGGAACACCGGUGGCGAAGGCGGUUCUCUGGGCAUGUCCUGACGCUGAGGAGCGAAAGUGUGGGGAGCGAACAGG